AGUGAACGCUGGCGGCAGGCCUAACACAUGCAAGUCGAGCGGCAGCGGGUCGUAGCAAUACGAUGCCGGCGAGCGGCGGACGGGUGAGGAACACAUCGGAAUCUACCCAGUCGUGGGGGAUAACGUAGGGAAACUUACGCUAAUACCGCAUACGACCUGAGGGUGAAAGCAGGGGACCGCAAGGCCUUGCGCGAUUGGAUGAGCCGAUGUCGGAUUAGCUAGUUGGUGGGGUAAAGGCCCACCAAGGCGACGAUCUGUAGCUGGUCUGAGAGGAUGAUCAGCCACACUGGAACUGAGACACGGUCCAGACUCCUACGGGAGGCAGCAGUGGGGAAAUAUUGGACAAUGGGCGCAAGCCUGAUCCAGCCAUGCCGCGUGUGUGAAGAAGGCC
Molecule: ribosomal RNA, 391 nt
Filed under: uncultured bacterium
Lineage: Bacteria
Description: bacterial SSU rRNA
Rfam family: Bacterial small subunit ribosomal RNA
Source: RNAcentral